Molecule: ribosomal RNA, 449 nt
Filed under: uncultured bacterium
Lineage: Bacteria
Description: partial 16S ribosomal RNA
Rfam family: Bacterial small subunit ribosomal RNA
Source: RNAcentral
AACGAACGCUGGCGGCAGGCUUAACACAUGCAAGUCGAACGCAUCCUUCGGGGUGAGUGGCAGACGGGUGAGUAACGCGUGGGAACGUGCCCUUCAGUUCGGGAUAAUCCAGGGAAACUUGGGCUAAUACCGGAUACGUGCGAGAGCAGAAAGAUUUAUCGCUGAAGGAUCGGCCCGCGUCUGAUAAGCUAGUUGGGGGGGUAAUGGCCCACCAAGGCGACGAUCAGUAGCUGGUCGGAGAGGAUGAGCAGCGACAUGGGGACGGAGGCACGGGCCAAACUCCAAGGGGAGGGAGCAGUGGGGAAUAUUGGACAAUGGGCGCAAGCCGGAUCCAGCCAUGCGGCGGGAGUGAUGAGGGCCUUAGGGUUGUAAAGCUCUUUCGUCCGGGACGAUAAUGACGGUACCGGAAGAAGAAGCCCCGGCUAACUUCGUGCCGGCCGCCGCCGCCG